Molecule: ribosomal RNA, 482 nt
Filed under: uncultured bacterium
Lineage: Bacteria
Description: partial 16S ribosomal RNA
Rfam family: Bacterial small subunit ribosomal RNA
Source: RNAcentral
AUUGAACGCUGGCGGCAUGCUUUACACAUGCAAGUCGAACGGUAACAGGCCUCCAGGUGCUGACGAGUGGCGAACGGGUGAGUAAUGCAUCGGAACGUACCCAGUCGUGGGGGAUAACUACUCGAAAGCUGAGCUAAUACCGCAUACGAUCUAUGGAUGAAAGCGGGGGACCGUAAAGCAUCGCGCGAUUUGAGCGGUCGAUGUCAGAUUAGGUAGUUGGUGGGGUAAAGGCUGACCAAGGCCACGAUCUGUAGCUGGUCUGAGAGGACGACCAGCCACACUGGGACUGAGACACGGCCCAGACUCCUACGGGAGGCAGCAGUGGGGAAUUUUGGACAAUGGGCGCAAGCCUGAUCCAGCAAUGCCGCGUGCGGGAAGAAGGCCUUCGGGUUGUAAACUGCUUUUGUAAGGAACGAAACGGCUCUGGUUAAUACCCGGGGCUAAUGACGGUACCGUAAGAAUAAGCACCGGCUAACUACGUG